This 788-nucleotide ribosomal RNA is filed under the name uncultured archaeon. Its description in RNAcentral is "bacterial SSU rRNA". It matches the Rfam family "Archaeal small subunit ribosomal RNA", at positions 85 to 876 of the family's 1478-position model. The record is from RNAcentral.
ACGGCUCAGUAACACGUAGUCAACAUGCCCAGGGGACGUGGAUAACCUCGGGAAACUGAGGAUAAACCGCGAUAGGUCAUUACUUCUGGAAUGGGUAAUGACUCAAACCUAUAUGGCCCCUGGAUUGGACUGCGGCCGAUCAGGCUGUUGGUGAGGUAAUGGCCCACCAAACCUGUAACCGGUACGGGCUCUGAGAGGAGGAGCCCGGAGAUGGGCACUGAGACAAGGGCCCAGGCCCUAUGGGGCGCAGCAGGCGCGAAACCUCUGCAAUAGGCGAAAGCUUGACAGGGUUACUCUGAGUGAUUUCCGUUAAGGAGAUCUUUUGGCACCUCUAAAAAUGGUGCAGAAUAAGGGGUGGGCAAGUCUGGUGUCAGCCGCCGCGGUAAUACCAGCACCCCGAGUGGUCGGGACGUUUAUUGGGCCUAAAGCAUCCGUAGCCGGUUCUACAAGUCUUCCGUUAAAUCCACCUGCUUAACAGAUGGGCUGCGGAAGAUACUAUAGAGCUAGGAGGCGGGAGAGGCAAGCGGUACUCGAUGGGUAGGGGUAAAAUCCGUUGAUCCAUUGAAGACCACCAGUGGCGAAGGCGGCUUGCCAGAACGCGCUCGACGGUGAGGGAUGAAAGCUGGGGGAGCAAACCGGAUUAGAUACCCGGGUAGUCCCAGCUGUAAACGAUGCAGACUCGGUGAUGGGCUGGCUUCGUGCCAACUCGGUGCCGCAGGGAAGCCGUUAAGUCUGCCGCCUGGGGAGUACGGUCGCAAGACUGAAACUUAAAGGAAUUGGCGGGGGAG